AGCAAACGCUGGCGGCGUGCCUAAUACAUGCAAGUCGAACGGGGAAAGUAGCAAUACGAGUACUAGUGGCGCACGGGUGAGGAAUACAUGGGUAAUCUGCCCUCGAGCUCGGGAUAACCAGUCGAAAGACUGGCUAAUACCGGAUAUGACCACAAGAUCUGAGGAUCAAGGGGUAAAAGGUUUUUCGCUUGAGGAUGAGCCCAUGUGGGAUUAGCUAGUUGGUGUAGGUAACGGCUCACCAAGGCGACGAUCCCUAACUGGUCUUAGAGGAUGAUCAGUCACACUGGAACUGAGACACGGUCCAGACUCCUACGGGAGGCAGCAGUAGGGAAUAUUGCACAAUGGAGGAAACUCUGAUGCAGCGACGCCGCGUGAGUGAUGAAGGCCUUCGGGUCGUAAAGCUCUGUCGUAUGGGACUAACAAAAUGAAGGUACCAUGCAAGAAAGGAAUCGGCUAACUUCGUGCCAGCAGCCGCGGUAA
Molecule: ribosomal RNA, 480 nt
Filed under: uncultured bacterium
Lineage: Bacteria
Description: bacterial SSU rRNA
Rfam family: Bacterial small subunit ribosomal RNA
Source: RNAcentral